CCUACGGUGAGCAGCAGUGGGGAAUAUUGGGCAAUGGGCGCAAGCCUGACCCAGCAACGCCGCGUGAAGGAAGAAGGCUUUCGGGUUGUAAACUUCUUUUAUCAGGGACGAAGCAAGUGACGGUACCUGAUGAAUAAGCCACGGCUAACUACGUGCCAGCAGCAGCGGUAAUACGGGGGAUGCGAGCGUAAUCCGGAUUUAUUGGGUUUAAAGGGUGCGCAGGCGGAUUUUUAAGUCAGCGGUCAAAUCGUGGGGCUCAACCCCAUCCAGCCGUUGAAACUGGGGAUCUAGUGUGUGCGAGAGGUAUGCGGGAUGCGGGGUGUAGCGGUGAAAUGCAUAGAUAUCACGCAGAAACCCGAUGGCGAAGGCAGCAUACCGGUGCACAACUGACGCUCAGGCACGAAAGCGUGGGUAUCGAACAGGAUUAGAUACCCUUGUAGUC
RNAcentral lists this ribosomal RNA (442 nucleotides) under uncultured bacterium. Its description in RNAcentral is "partial 16S ribosomal RNA". It matches the Rfam family "Bacterial small subunit ribosomal RNA", at positions 338 to 795 of the family's 1533-position model. The record is from RNAcentral.